RNAcentral lists this long non-coding RNA (674 nucleotides) under Mytilus galloprovincialis (Mediterranean mussel). The record is from RNAcentral. Lineage: Eukaryota; Metazoa; Mollusca; Bivalvia; Mytilida; Mytilidae.
UGAAUAAACCUAGUUUUACAGCUAGCUGCAUAUUUCAUUUGUAUGCAAGUUGCAUUAAAUCUCAUUAAACUGAAUAAAACUAAAAGACAUAAUAGGUAGAAGUCAGUGACAAUAAAAGGAAUAGAGCAGUCAACAUAGUGUAACAAUUCGACAUAGUAUAUAAAAAUAUAAAUAACUACGUAGGACAACAGGGUAAUUUAAUAGUCUAACAACCCCUGAUAACAUACAAAGAGAGAAAAAAAACAUACUAGGAAACAUAUUAAAAAAAUCAUAACACUAUAACUAACUGGUGGGAUGUAUAAAUACCGAGCCGCGUCAAAGAGUAUUCAUCAAAAUACACAUAGAAAGAAACAGAGGUGAAGGUAAACCGCAAACAUAUAAUUAAACUCAAAACAUUUUAAAAAUAGUAUGGAAAAGCCUUGGUCUGAAGCAAAAAACGUCGAUAAGACGCACAUCAGUAAAUAAAAGUUCAAACCAUAACCAGGAUGGAGUACCACAAACCCCACAUAAAACUUAUGUGGUGUAAGUAUGAUGCGUUAAUAAAAUCACAUUUGGUGGUGAAUGAGUAGUAUAAACGCCGCGAAGGUUACAAAUAUGAUGUUAAUUGUCUUCUAAUUGUUGAAAUUAUAAUUCUUAAAAUUUUAAAUCAAAAGUUACCCACAUCUAAAAAUAAA